Molecule: transfer RNA, 67 nt
Filed under: Modiolus metcalfei
Lineage: Eukaryota; Metazoa; Mollusca; Bivalvia; Mytilida; Modiolidae
Also listed under: 1 other name
Description: tRNA-Leu
Source: RNAcentral
AGUGAGAUGGCAGAGUUAAUGCGAUAGAUUUAAGCUUUAUUUAUAGAAUGAGAGGUUCUUCUUGCUU